AUUGAACGCUGGCGGCAUGCUUUACACAUGCAAGUCGAACGGCAGCGCGGGCUUCGGCCUGGCGGCGAGUGGCGAACGGGUGAGUAAUACAUCGGAACGUGCCCAGUAGUGGGGGAUAGCUCGACGAAAGCCGGAUUAAUACCGCAUACGACCUGAGGGUGAAAGCGGGGGAUCUUCGGACCUCGCGCUAUUUGAGCGGCCGAUGGCAGAUUAGCUAGUUGGUGGGGUAAAGGCCUACCAAGGCGACGAUCUGUAGCUGGUCUGAGAGGACGACCAGCCACACUGGGACUGAGACACGGCCCAGACUCCUACGGGAGGCAGCAGUGGGGAAUUUUGGACAAUGGGCGAAAGCCUGAUCCAGCAAUGCCGCGUGUGUGAUGAAGGCCUUCGGGUUGUAAAGCACUUUUGGCGGGAACGAAAAGGACUGUGCCAAUACCACGGUUCGAUGACGGUACCCGCAGAAUAAGCACCGGCUAACUACGUG
RNAcentral lists this ribosomal RNA (484 nucleotides) under uncultured bacterium. Its description in RNAcentral is "partial 16S ribosomal RNA". It matches the Rfam family "Bacterial small subunit ribosomal RNA", at positions 30 to 507 of the family's 1533-position model. The record is from RNAcentral.